Molecule: ribosomal RNA, 484 nt
Filed under: uncultured bacterium
Lineage: Bacteria
Description: partial 16S ribosomal RNA
Rfam family: Bacterial small subunit ribosomal RNA
Source: RNAcentral
GACGAACGCUGGCGGCGUGCUUAACACAUGCAAGUCGAACGGAAAGGCCCCUUUGGGGGUACUCGAGUGGCGAACGGGUGAGUAACACGUGAGUAACCUGCCCUUGACUUCGGGAUAACUUCAGGAAACUGGGGCUAAUACCGGAAAGGAAUCCUUGCUGCAUGGUGGGGGUUGGAAAGCUUCGGCGGUUUUGGAUGGACUCGCGGCGUAUUAGCUUGUUGGUGGGGUAGUGGCUUACCAAGGCGUUGACGGGUAGCCGGCCUGAGAGGGCGACCGGCCACACUGGGACUGAGAGACGGCCGAGACUCCUACGGGAGGCAGCAGUGGGGAAUGUUGGACAAUGGGGGCAACCCUGAUCCAGCCAUGCCGCGUGCGGGAAGAAGGCCUUCGGGUUGUAAACCGCUUUUGUUCGGGAAGAAAUCCUCUGGGCUAAUACCCCGGGGGGAUGACGGUACCGGAAGAAUAAGCACCGGCUAACUACGUG